GACGUAGGGCGCGAGCGUUGUCCGGAUUUAUUGGGCGUAAAGAGCUCGUAGGCGGUCUGUCGCGUCGGCUGUGAAAUCCCGAGGCUCAACCUCGGGUCUGCAGUCGAUACGGGCAAACUAGAGUAUUGCAGGGGAGACUGGAAUUCCUGGUGUAGCGGUGAAAUGCGCAGAUAUCAGGAAGAACACCCGUGGCGAAAGCGGCUCUCUGGAACGGUACUGACGCUGAGACGCGAAAGCGUGGGGAGCGAACAGG
Molecule: ribosomal RNA, 253 nt
Filed under: uncultured bacterium
Lineage: Bacteria
Description: partial 16S ribosomal RNA
Rfam family: Bacterial small subunit ribosomal RNA
Source: RNAcentral